This 1227-nucleotide ribosomal RNA is filed under the name Alteromonas hispanica. Its description in RNAcentral is "partial 16S ribosomal RNA". It matches the Rfam family "Bacterial small subunit ribosomal RNA", at positions 222 to 1465 of the family's 1533-position model. The record is from RNAcentral. Lineage: Bacteria; Pseudomonadati; Pseudomonadota; Gammaproteobacteria; Alteromonadales; Alteromonadaceae.
UAAAGAANCCCACUGGAGUUUACUCUAAUGNNUGUAGGAUAGCUNCAUGCAACGAUCUUACGUCUGAAAGAAAGUCAGCCAACUGGGAACUUGGAACACGCUAGCUCUUACGGAGGCAAGCAAGUGGGGAAUUAUUGACAAUGGGGCACCUGAUCCAGCCAUGCCGCGUGUGUGAAGAAGCCUCCGGGUUGUAAAGCACUUCCAGUGGGAGGAAGCUAAGUAGUUAAACCUGCUUGGAUUGACGUUACCCCAGAAGAAGCACCGGCUAACUCCGUGCCAGCAGCCCCGUAAUACGGAGGGGCAAGCGUUAUCGGAAUUACUGGGCGUAAAGCGCACGCAGGCGGUUUGUUAAGCUAGAUGUGAAAGCCCCGGGCUCAACCUGGGACGGUCAUUUAGAACUGGCAGACUAGAGUCUUGGAGAGGGGAGUGGAAUUCCAGGUGUAGCGGUGAAAUGCGUAGAUAUCUGGAGGAACAUCAGUGGCGAAGGCGACUCCCUGGCCAAAGACUGACGCUCAUGUGCGAAAGUGUGGGUAGCGAACAGGAUUAGAUACCCUGGUAGUCCACACCGUAAACGCUGUCUACUAGCUGUUUGCGACUUUAAGUUGUGAGUAGCGAAGCUAACGCGCUAAGUAGACCGCCUGGGGAGUACGGCCGCAAGGUUAAAACUCAAAUGAAUUGACGGGGGCCCGCACAAGCGGUGGAGCAUGUGGUUUAAUUCGAUGCAACGCGAAGAACCUUACCUACACUUGACAUGCAGAGAACUUUCCAGAGAUGGAUUGGUGCCUUCGGGAACUCUGACACAGGUGCUGCAUGGCUGUCGUCAGCUCGUGUCGUGAGAUGUUGGGUUAAGUCCCGCAACGAGCGCAACCCUUGUCCUUAGUUGCCAGCAUUAGGUUGGGCACUCUAAGGAGACUGCCGGUGACAAACCGGAGGAAGGUGGGGACGACGUCAAGUCAUCAUGGCCCUUACGUGUAGGGCUACACACGUGCUACAAUGGUAUUUACAGAGGGAAGCGAGACAGCGAUGUGGAGCGGACCCCUUAAAGAAUAUCGUAGUCCGGAUCGGAGUCUGCAACUCGACUCCGUGAAGUCGGAAUCGCUAGUAAUCGCAGGUCAGAAUACUGCGGUGAAUACGUUCCCGGGCCUUGUACACACCGCCCGUCACACCAUGGGAGUGGGAUGCAAAAGAAGUAGUUAGUUAACUUCGGGAGAACGAUUUACCACGUNC